This 262-nucleotide long non-coding RNA is filed under the name Rattus norvegicus (Norway rat). Its description in RNAcentral is "long non-coding RNA NONRATT027868". Lineage: Eukaryota; Metazoa; Chordata; Mammalia; Rodentia; Muridae. The record is from RNAcentral.
CUUCAGUCAGUUCGGUCAAGCAAGGCAAUGACUUGAACUCGGCAAACUUCCAAGAUACAGAGGACAUUCUUGACAGAUGUGUCUUGGAAGAGUCGGAGAGUGCAGGUCAGCCAAGACAUCGUCCAUGGAUAGCGAAGGUGUGCUCCUGCAGGAUGUGCUAGAUGGAUGGAGUCCCGAAAAAGGAAUUCAAUCUGAAUUAACAGAGAUGCACAAGCACACUAUCUCUUUACCAUCAAAUAAAAGCAACGUUGUCAUUGGUCUG